GAUGAACGCUGGCGGCGUGCCUAAUACAUGCAAGUCGAGCGAACGGACGAGAAGCUUGCUUCUCUGAUGUUAGCGGCGGACGGGUGAGUAACACAUGGAUAACCUACCUAUAAGACUGGGAUAACUUCGGGAAACCGUAGCUAAUACCGGAUAAUAUUUUGAACCGCAUGGUUCAAAAGUGAAAGACGGUCUUGCUGUCACUUAUAGAUGGAUCCGCGCUGCAUUAGCUAGUUGGUAAGGUAACGGCUUACCAAGGCAACGAUGCAUAGCCGACCUGAGAGGGUGAUCGGCUACACUGGAACUGAGACACGGUCCAGACUCCUACGGGAGGCAGCAGUAGGGAAUCUUCCGCAAUGGGCGAAAGCCUGACGGAGCAACGCCGCGUGAGUGAUGAAGGUCUUCGGAUCGUAAAACUCUGUUAUUAGGGAAGAACAUAUGUGUAAGUAACUGUGCACAUCUUGACGGUACCUAAUCAGAAAGCCACGGCUAACUACGUG
This 497-nucleotide ribosomal RNA is filed under the name uncultured bacterium. RNAcentral describes it as "partial 16S ribosomal RNA". It matches the Rfam family "Bacterial small subunit ribosomal RNA", at positions 28 to 507 of the family's 1533-position model. The record is from RNAcentral.